AUUCGCACCAGGACAGUUGAGCCGCCAUCAGAAUGAGAGAGGGAGUUGACCAUGCUGUAUUAGGGACGAUCUCUCCAGGUAUUGCUUUAUUGGCACCAACAUUAUUUCCCCAUGUGUUCUACUCCCUCAAAAACAAACAGAAGCCAUCCUGCGUAGUAGUGGAAUGAACAGACCUGGCUUUAAUAUCAGGCUCCGCCUGACUAGCUGGGUGACCUCAAGCAAGUCACCUAUAAAAUGGGGAUACCUCCACCUACUCUACAGGUUUUAUACAUCACUAGUGGCAACUCCGUAACCAGAAGAUGAGGUCUUAUUGUCUUUAAAAGGGCGAGGGGAAAUCAGUGUUGAUGAUUUUUCCCAAAGUGCCAGUCACCUUCCAUCUUCGCCUCCCUGACAUCUUUGACUCCUCUACAGGACUCACACAAACACCACCACACUUUUCCCUUUCCCUUCUCUCUAUAAACGCCAUGCUUUCUUCUUUUUCUUUUCUUCCCUUCCAUUCUGCUGGACCAUCCUAUUCCAAGAUGGGAUGCAUUCCUAACAGCCACAAUCCCAAGCUCCAAGUUUCUCACUUAGGUUUACCACCCUAGAAACUUUCUAAUGGAAAAUCGGGGGAAAAACAGAGGGCUCUCCAAUAAAUUUAAGUUAAAGCAUAUUUGUGGAGAGAAGCCUGAAUCAUUCAGACUUUUAGCAACUAUAAAGUUUACUCUCCUCUGUACAGAUUGUAGUUUUAGACCGUGAGUCAAGUAGGAAUGGUACCAAAGCAAAGCUAACCGAAAUAUGCAUAAAUCCAUAAUCCCUUGCCAUAAUUAUGACACAAUAUUCUAAUCGUGUACCAAGUAGUAUAAUAAAUGCUCUCACCUAGCCAAAUGUUCCAACUUGUAAAACUAAGGGACAACUAUAAAGAAUGGAACAGUUUGUUCUUUGCCCGUCGGUGGUUGGACACGAUCCACAGUUAGGAAAUUCAUGAACAGCUCAGCCAGUGGAAUCAAGCCGAUAUUCAAAGUGUGCAACCUCAAAGACUGGGAGAGGUGAACCUGCCUAUUCCAGUACCUUUAGAUGGAACUUAAAUCAUUCAAGAGACUCAUUAAACACCUCCAGAAUUUCUUACAACAGUACCUAAUAAUCCUUAUCUUGAUAUGUAAACUCUAUUCUUUUAAGCAUUUGUUCAUCAUUUAUGAAGUCACAGUGCCAAGCCUAAUGCAGUUAUGUCUACAAUUCAGAAUUUAACCUGCACCCAACACAUAUGAAGUACAUAGGGGAUUGGGAUAAUACAUAAACUUUGAAGACACAAUUUGCUUUUUAAAAAGUCGUUUCAAAUUUCACCUUCCAGCUUUGGGAAAUAGAUGUAACUGGCCAUAUUUUUUAUUUACUUUCUGACAAUGACUGAUCUAAGUUACACAAUAACUACCUUCAUUUAACUAGAUUAGGUACAGAUAUCUUUCAAAUAAGCAAAAUGAGACACAGGAAGGCUAAGUAAUUUGCCCAAGGUCACACAUAAACACAGUAAUUGCUGGAGGGCAAAGCAAGACCACUUGCAGGAAA
Molecule: long non-coding RNA, 1542 nt
Organism: Myotis brandtii (Brandt's bat)
Lineage: Eukaryota; Metazoa; Chordata; Mammalia; Chiroptera; Vespertilionidae
Exons: 2
Source: RefSeq, a predicted model, not a curated record